RNAcentral lists this unclassified non-coding RNA (231 nucleotides) under Hevea brasiliensis (rubber tree). Lineage: Eukaryota; Viridiplantae; Streptophyta; Magnoliopsida; Malpighiales; Euphorbiaceae. The record is from RNAcentral.
CAGAAGAUAAUCCUCCAAAAUAUCACGCAACCACAGUGAUUGACUACAAAAAUUAUGUCCUUAAUAAAGGCCUAGAUGGAACUUCUGCGCUGUUGAGUUACAAGAUCUAAUAUAAUAAUGUACCAGUAAGUGGUGUUACACCUCUUCAUCAAAAUAAGGAGUGUUCUUAUCUUUUUUUCAACGUAUUUAUCAAGGAUAAGUUAGUGAAAAUACAUCUUAAUAUCUAAGAAG